RNAcentral lists this long non-coding RNA (6559 nucleotides) under Solanum tuberosum (potato). Its description in RNAcentral is "long non-coding RNA (STUB_LNC004142)". Lineage: Eukaryota; Viridiplantae; Streptophyta; Magnoliopsida; Solanales; Solanaceae. The record is from RNAcentral.
AGCUGGGUGGCGAUUUCGUGAGUAAACCCCAAAAACAUAUCGGAAAUUAUGGCUGACGGCGGCGAAGGGUGGUUGCGGAACCAUUCCAAUAUGGGAUCUCGAAGUUUUCCGAGAUUGUACAUCAUGGAACGGAACCCAUUAGCAGGAAGGUCCUUGACGUUCUCUACGCCGGCGGGAAUUGAAGGGUGAGAUGGAAAAGGCAAAACGAGAGUUUUUAUUGAUGGAUUCCUGGAGAGAAGAGGGUCUAAGAUUGGGAGAUUCUUGGGGGUGACUAAAAUAGUGAUGGCUACUCCAUUGUUGACUAGCUGAUGAGUGAAAUCCAGAAGGGGAAGCAUAUGGCCUUGUGCUGGAUAAGGAAAGAUGAGAACAUGAGGGUGAUUUUCAGACAUUUUUCUCAAUUGCCGAUGAGUGGAGCCGCCGGACCGGCGUUCAGGCGCUGAAUAUUGGGAGAAGAAGAAAAGGAAAAUGGGAAAGUGAUUAAACUUUCAAGGCCAAAGAAACAAAUGUGUGAUUUGGUGGUUUCCUUUUUUUCUACUUAAUUAAGAGAGCAAAUGGAAAUAAUUUUCUACCACAUUUUAUUUGAGUCAAUAACUCAUUAGUAGACCAACAACAUUUAACUAAUUAUUAUCUUGACCGUUGACUACUAUAUUUUUGAAUAUUUUUCUCUAAAAUGGAAAAAGUAAUUAAUACUCCAUGAUACUCUUUUAUUUCAAGCUAUAAAUAAUAUAGUCCACUUUUGAAUUUAACUAAUUUUUAAAGUUAAUUUAGAUCAUAUUAAUUUGAUAUUUUGAAUAAAAAUUUUAAAUGUUUAAAUUUUUCUGCAUAUCAAUGUGAUAGUAAAUUAUCACAAAAUGUUAGUCAAAGUUCUUGUAGUUUGACUCUAACAAAGAAAAUCAUGAUAAUUAAAAAUGAACGGAUGAAGUAAUCUUUAAACAAUAUUUCUUAUGUUCUUAUUUAAUUAUCGUCUUUAAUAUUUGUCAUUUCAUAAAAUCAAUGCAUAAAUGAUAUUAUUUUUUCUAAUUUACCGUUGAAAGUUAUUAGAACUGAAAAUAUAUAUUUGAUCAACAUAGAAAAAAAUAAGUAAACAAAUUUCCAUUCAUUGGUCAAAUUAACUAAUUAAAACAAAUCAACUCAUGUUCAUUGAUUGAAAACUUACCUAAUUUCUUAAAUGACGUGAAAUCUAAAAUGGUGACAACUAAGGCCUAAUUUGUUUCAAUUAAAAUUAAGACGUCUGAUUUUGAAUACGCAUGUGCAUUAAGAUUAUAGAUGUCUAGAUCGGAAUACACAUAUAAAUAUUAAGAUGUGGUCUCCAAAUUUUAAGACUAAAUGAUUAACUGAUUGUUUUCAAUAUCUGAAUAUGCAUAUGAAAUUAUAUAAAUUUGAUUGAUAUUAAAACUCUCUUAAAGAUUUAAUUCGUUCAGAUAUUUUCAGAUCCAUGAAGAGGUUUGUUUUUUUUUUUUACUAUGGACUUAAUUGAGUGAAUUUAAAUGAUUAAGCUUCAACCUUAAAAUCAAGCACAUUUAAUAGGAUAAAUAUAAAUGAUGCAUUAAGCGUAACAAACGAAGCCUAAAUUGGAACAACGAAAGUGAUAUAUUUCAUUCCCGUAUGGUCCCAUACUCCCAUUUGUUUGGUAUAAAGUCCACAAACAUAUAUUUUGUUAAGGAUAAUUUUAAAAUUUUCCUAAAUCUUUUCACAUUUCUUAAACUUUAUUUAGUCAAAUUGUGUUAUAUAAAUUUACACGGGAAAGUAUUCGAUUGAAAAUAGAAAAAAUAUUAAUUGCAAUCAAUAAAAGAUUCUUACCAUUAGAGCUAUAUAUGCCUAAAAGUUGAAGAGAUUAUAGAUAUUUUCCAUGACCAUCUUUAGAGGAGUAUUUAGUUAACAAUAUGCAAUCUUUUCAUUUGUCAAUCUGACGUGUGUUAAGUAUAUUUUACAUUGGGAAAAAGAACAAAUAUAUUCUCGAACUUUCGAAAAUGGUAUGUCAAUACCCUCUGUCAUACUUUUCGUCCGUCACUGCCAUUGCCGUCCAAUAAUCAGUGCACAUUUGCCCCUCCCACUAACGGAACAUUCAUUUUGUACACGUGGCACUAUCCUAAGCCAUAAUCCGAAUUGACCAAUUAUUUAACCCAAAUUUUAAAAAUCCACCAUAAUCCAUUUAACCCACCCGAUUUACCCACAACAAACUAUGAACCAAGUUCAGCCAAUGUAGACACCAAAAGAACACAUGGAAUUUCUAUCAAGUUCUUGAAGUCUCUAAAGCUUUAGCUCCUCCGCAAGUUUUAUCUAAAUCACUUUUUCCUGCUGCCCCUUCUUAUAUUGGGAGUGGUAAUGGUAUUUUACCGGAGGAUAUUGCCGCCUAGUUAGAUGAAUCAGCCAUUGUUUUCGGUAACCCUUUUUCUUUUGCAUCUUUUAAAACUUUUCAGCUUAUUUAUGGAACACAUUAUGUCUGCAAAUACCCCUUUUCACUGAUAUGUUUUUUAUUGGGAAAAAAACAAAGAAAUUUGGUAAUUUGACUUUUUUUGUUUGUUUAUUUUUGUUUUCAAGUGAAACUCAUUUUUUUAUUUUUGGAGUUUUUUGGUGAGUUUUACUUUCUUUUUUUGAAUUAAUGGGAAAACCAACAGCUUCUUGAAAGAAGCUGAGUUUGGGGACAGUAAUGGUGGACAUUAAUGGUGACACAACUGUUACUUUAUGAUUUCUUGAAAUCAUUAACAAGUGUAUUGAAUUUAUUUUUGCUUUUAAGAGAGACCGUUUUUACUCUCUCCGGGUUUUGCUUUGAUUAUUUUAAUAAUUUAACAUCCACCAACAAUCAUUCUCUCCAUUUUCUCUGUUAUAAGAAAAACAUUAAAUUAUUUGUCUCUUCGGUUUUGGGGAUCUGUAAUUUUUAAAUUCUUAAUGAUCCCAUUUUUCUAUAAUUUUUAGUACUAUCUAUUAUUUCAUCGAUUGAUUUUUUUAUAUGUGGUGUACAGCAGCAGGAUGUUUCACCACGCACAUCUGGACGGCUCUCUCAUAGUAAUGGACCUUUAAAUGGUGGAUCUCUUACAUGGGUUCUCAGGGGCGGCUCAACGUAAUCGGAGGCCUAAAACGAAAUCUUAAUUAGAGGCCUAAAAUCUAAAUAAACUUCACAUGCAUUUAUUUAAAAUUUAUUUUUCUUACAUUUUUAAAUGCAAAGUAUUACUUAAUAAUUUUUUUUAUAUAUAAAUGAUUUAUUCGAUUUCUUUUUCAAUUAUUAAGUUUUAAAUAAGAUUUUAUUAAUUCAACGUUGAAAAAUAUUAUUUUACUCGGGCAAGCAUUAUAUGAAUUGUUAACAUAGUUCUACAAGUAAUAAGUUGACAAAUUUCAAAUAAAUAUAAGAGUUAGAACCAUAGCUUUGAUGAAGUUGAUAAUUUGGUUACCCCACAUUUUACUAUGGUUGUUGUAAUGCUUGAAAAUCUAAGAAGAAAUGGAAAAAGAAUUUACAAUUCAAUUUGUUCAACACUUUUCGACUAUUAAAUGAUAUUUUUGAUAAAAUAUUACUCUAAUUUAUCAACAAUUUAAAGAAGAGUGUAAAAGGAGUUAAAAAGAAAAUAAUGUGAGUAUUAGUAGAGAGAGUGUAAGAAAAUAAAACAAUAUUUUCUUGAUUUUUUCUAUUUGAAUUGGGUUGAAGAGAAUAAAAUAAUAAUUUUAAAUAUAUACUUUUUAUUAUAAAUAAUAGCCCUGUGGGUUCUUUUGUGUCUCCGACGGUGAUGGCCGAUUUAUUGGCUGAACUUAGGUCCAUAGUUUAUUUAUGGGUAAAUUGGGUGGGUUUAAUUGGUUAUGGGUGGGUUUUUGAAAAUUUGGAUUAAAUAAUUGAUCAACUCGGGUUGUGGCUUAGGAUUGUGCCACGUGUACAAAAUGAGUGGUCUAUUAGUGGGAGGGGCAAAUAUGCACCGAUUAUUGGACGGCAAGAGCACUGAUGGACGAAAAGUAUGACGGAGGAUAUUGGCAUACUAUUUUCGAAAGAUCGCGGGUAUAUUUGUCCUUUUUCCCUUUUACAUUUGAGGAGUUCUAUUUUUAUUUUUUACGAUUUGAUUUUUUUCUAAACCAUUUGAGAAGUUAUUGACUUCUACAAACUUUAAAAUGUAUUUCCUUAAAUCAAAUGAAUUUAAAACACAUUUAAAGUUUUUUUCAUAGUUUUAUAUUGAAUAGUUAAGUGUGAGAGUAGUUUCAUAUUAAAUUAUUGAGUAUGUGAGUUUCUUAUCUGAAUUGUAAUCAAAUACUUAUGGAAACACAAUUUAACUAUCAUUUUUUCUCUUUUGUAUCUAAAAUAUCAUCAUUGUUUGAAAAAUGAUCAAGUUUUUAAAAAAAAAUAUAAAUUCAAGGGAAACAUAACCUUAAAAAUGGUAAGUUUGAAAAUUAUCUCUAUCUUGUUUUACAAAUAUUUGAUUCAAAUUUGUAUGUCCUCACCAAUCAAUCAAAGUAUGCUUCUGAUUUGAUAUAGAUGUUUGUUGUAGCAAGGUUCUUUAGUAGCCUUAAAAAUCUAUUAUGUCUUAAUAUAUACGAUACAUUUUUUAAGAUUAAUUUUUAAAAAAUGAUAUAUGCAUUUUGAUAAAUAUUUAAUGACACUACUAAUAUUUUAUUCAUAUCACAUAUUUGACAAAAAAAAAUCAAUAAAGUUGCCACAUAAGUUUGGUCAAUAGUCAGAAGGGCUUAAAAUAUUAAGUUUGAUUGAAUUUAAAGGUUCAGUUGAAAAAUGAUCAAAUAGAAGAAUUCAUAAUAUAAGCUCGUACUAUAUUGUUGAAUGUUAAAGAAAGUUUGUGGAAAAUACAAAAAAGCAGACCAAAUAUAUCCACUAGCCUGACCUACAACAUUGGAAAAGUCGGUAACGUCGAUCACUAUGAGGGUAGUUGGUUUAAUUUAUAAUAACGAUUUGACUUUAUAUACUAUUCCUAUUAGACAAUUAUAUUUAAAAAAUAAAAUACUUAUAAACAAAAGUCCUUUUUUUCAUUUUUUGUAAAUAGCUUUGAAAGCAUUUUAGUCAUUUAACACAAGCAUUUUUUCACCAAACAUAUUAAUUGCAUAUUAUUAGAUUCACCAAACAUUUUUGCUUAUUAUUAGAUUCAACGUUCAAAUUUGCGAACACUUGACCUAAUGUUUAUUUCCAUAUCUAAUAGAUAAAAUAAUCUAUGCUUACAUAUUGGUAUUGUAAACGAUAAAUCCAACGAAGUAGCCUUUCUAGAAUUUUUAAUUGCCUCAAAUGUUUGUUUUACACUUCGAUUUUUGUAGCCUCCUCCCUUAAUUUUUUUACGAACGCUGCCAAAUCUUUGAAAGAGUUCCCACCUUCUUUAAUGCCAUUAAUUGCAACUUUUCGUAGCUCCGAUGCACGAAGUCUUCGCUCUUCUACGUUGUUUCCUUGCACAGCUUCCGCCAGUAAGUUAGCCAACUCGUCCGAAUUUGGUACCGUUUGCGCACCUUCACAAGCUCUAAUAGCUACCUCAUGCUCGUCAACUAAAAGGUUCGCAUUGGCAAAUUGGUCAGCACCCAUCGGCCAUGUUAACAUUGGUACACCGGCUAUUAAACUUUCGAGAGUCGAAUUCCAACCACAGUGAGUUAAGAAUGCGCCUAUAGCUUGGUGUUUUAAAAUCAACACUUGCGGGGCCCAGUCUCUAACAAUCAGGCCCCGUCCAGCCACUUUUUCCUCAAACCAAGACGGAAUCACGCCGUAAUCAUUUGAAGCGUGUCCUUUGGUGGCUCUUUUUGCUGACAAAAUGAACUUGACACCACUUUUGUCCAAAGCUAUGGCUAAUUCCUCCAUUUGUUUGUUUGUUAACACAGCUUGACUGCCGAAACAGACGUAUACAACCGAGUGAUCUUCACAUUUGUCGAGCCAUGCUAGUAUUUCACUAGCUAAAACAGAGCUCGAACCGCCUCUGUUUGAUUGGCCGGAGACAUCAUCUUCUCCCGGAGGAAGUACUGGUCCAACAGACCAAAACCCUGUUGUGACCCAAAUCUUUCAUCAGAUAAUUCAAAUACACAUUUUCCAAUUCCAUAAACGUGUUGAAAACGAUUCCGUCACUUGCUAUAUCAGCGAGAUAGCAUUCUCUGAUGAAGUCCGAACUUGGGUCUCCUACAACAUAACUCCGGUAAAUAGGAGAGAGCUGCCAGAAAGGGAAUUUCGGGGAAUUGGGGAUAUUGGGGAAGUGGAAAUUUUCGUUUUCAUCGUUCGGGUCUUUCCUUUUGGGCAUUUCACGCCAAAGUGAAUAAACAACAGAUAGGGCCAACGCGCCGGAGGUGGAGAAUACGUACCGGCGAAUACCGAGCUGGGUGGCGAUUUCGUGAGUAAACCCCAAAAACAUAUCGGAAAUUAUGGCUGACGGCGGCGAAGGGUGGUUGCGGAACCAUUCCAAUAUGGGAUCUCGAAGUUUUCCGAGAUUGUACAUCAUGGAACGGAACCCAUUAGCAGGAAGGUCCUUGACGUUCUCUACGCCGGCAGGAAUUGAAGGGUGAGAUGGAAAAGGCAAAACGAGAGUUUUUAUUGAUGGAUUCCUGGAGAGAAGAGGGUCUAAGAUUGGGAGAUUUUUGGGGGUAACUAAAAUAGUGAUGGCUA